Molecule: non-coding RNA, 69 nt
Organism: Ictidomys tridecemlineatus (thirteen-lined ground squirrel)
Lineage: Eukaryota; Metazoa; Chordata; Mammalia; Rodentia; Sciuridae
Source: Rfam
GGGGCUGUAGCUCAGCGGUAGAGCGCUUGCCUCGAACACAUGAGGCCCUGGGUUUGAUCCUCAGCACCA